Molecule: small nuclear RNA, 22 nt
Filed under: Arabidopsis thaliana (thale cress)
Lineage: Eukaryota; Viridiplantae; Streptophyta; Magnoliopsida; Brassicales; Brassicaceae
Description: snRNA_00255
Source: RNAcentral
UUUUUGUUCUGGGGUAUUUCAU